Molecule: ribosomal RNA, 429 nt
Filed under: bacterium
Lineage: Bacteria
Also listed under: 1 other name
Description: partial 16S ribosomal RNA
Rfam family: Bacterial small subunit ribosomal RNA
Source: RNAcentral
UAGGGAAUCUUCGGCAAUGGACGAAAGUCUGACCGAGCAACGCCGCGUGAGUGAAGAAGGUUUUCGGAUCGUAAAACUCUGUUGUUAGAGAAGAACAAGGACGUUAGUAACUGAACGUCCCCUGACGGUAUCUAACCAGAAAGCCACGGCUAACUACGUGCCAGCAGCCGCGGUAAUACGUAGGUGGCGAGCGUUGUCCGGAUUUAUUGGGCGUAAAGCGAGCGCAGGCGGUUUCUUAAGUCUGAUGUGAAAGCCCCCGGCUCAACCGGGGAGGGUCAUUGGAAACUGGGAGACUUGAGUGCAGAAGAGGAGAGUGGAAUUCCAUGUGUAGCGGUGAAAUGCGUAGAUAUAUGGAGGAACACCAGUGGCGAAGGCGGCUCUCUGGUCUGUAACUGACGCUGAGGCUCGAAAGCGUGGGGAGCAAACAGG